UACGAAGGGGGCUAGCGUUGUUCGGAUUUACUGGGCGUAAAGCGCACGUAGGCGGAUUUUUAAGUCAGGGGUGAAAUCCCGGGGCUCAACCUCGGAACUGCCUUUGAUACUGGAGAUCUUGAGUCCGGAAGAGGUGAGUGGAACUGCGAGUGUAGAGGUGAAAUUCGUAGAUAUUCGCAAGAACACCAGUGGCGAAGGCGGCUCACUGGUCCGGUACUGACGCUGAGGUGCGAAAGCGUGGGGAGCAAACAGG
RNAcentral lists this ribosomal RNA (253 nucleotides) under uncultured bacterium. RNAcentral describes it as "partial 16S ribosomal RNA". It matches the Rfam family "Bacterial small subunit ribosomal RNA", at positions 524 to 776 of the family's 1533-position model. The record is from RNAcentral.